UAGGGAAUCUUCCACAAUGGGCGCAAGCCUGAUGGAGCAACACCGCGUGAGUGAAGAAGGGUUUCGGCUCGUAAAGCUCUGUUGUUAAAGAAGAACACGUAUGAGAGUAACUGUUCAUACGUUGACGGUAUUUAACCAGAAAGUCACGGCUAACUACGUCNCG
RNAcentral lists this ribosomal RNA (163 nucleotides) under uncultured bacterium. Its description in RNAcentral is "partial 16S rRNA". It matches the Rfam family "Bacterial small subunit ribosomal RNA", at positions 355 to 510 of the family's 1533-position model. The record is from RNAcentral.